This 587-nucleotide ribosomal RNA is filed under the name uncultured bacterium. RNAcentral's name for it is "partial 16S ribosomal RNA". It matches the Rfam family "Bacterial small subunit ribosomal RNA", at positions 355 to 1375 of the family's 1533-position model. The record is from RNAcentral.
UGGGGAAUUUUGGACAAUGGGCGAAAGCCUGAUCCAGCAAUGCCGCGUGUGUGAAGAAGGCCUUCGGGUUGUAAAGCACUUUUGUCCGGAAAGAAAUCCUUGGCUCUAAUACAGUCGGGGGAUGACGGUACCGGAAGAAUAAGCACCGGCUAACUACGUGCCAGCAGCCGCGGUAAUACGUAGGGUGCAAGCGUUAAUCGGAAUUACUGGGCGUAAAGCGUGCGCAGGCGGUUUGCUAAGACCGAUGUGAAAUCCCCGGGCUCAACCUGGGAACUGCAUUGGUGACUGGCAGGCUAGAGUAUGGCAGAGGGGGGUAGAAUUCCACGUGUAGCAGUGAAAUGCGUAGAGAUGUGGAGGAAUACCGAUGGCGAAGGCAGCCCCCUGGGCCAAUACUGACGCUCAUGCACGAAAGCGUGGGGAGCAAAACAGGAUUAGAUACCCUGGUAGUCCACGCCCUAAAACGAUGUCAACUAGUUGUUGGGGAUUCAUUUCCUUAGUAACGUAGCUAACGCGUGAAGUUGACCGCCUGGGGAGUACGGUCGCAAGAUUAAAACUCAAAAGAAUUGACGGGGUCAUAGCUGUUUCCU